AUAUCUAUUAACUCAGUUGGUUAUAGUGUGGUGCUGACAAUGUCAAGGUUGCAGGUUCGAUCCCCAUAUAGGACA
This is a non-coding RNA of Podarcis lilfordi (Lilford's wall lizard), 75 nucleotides long. NCBI's taxonomy places the organism in Eukaryota, Metazoa, Chordata, Lepidosauria, Squamata, Lacertidae. The record is from the annotation of a GenBank genome assembly.